Molecule: ribosomal RNA, 484 nt
Filed under: Staphylococcus aureus
Lineage: Bacteria; Bacillati; Bacillota; Bacilli; Caryophanales; Staphylococcaceae
Description: partial 23S ribosomal RNA
Rfam family: Bacterial large subunit ribosomal RNA
Source: RNAcentral
ACAAGUAGUCAGAGCCCGUUAAUGGGUGAUGGCGUGCCUUUUGUAGAAUGAACCGGCGAGUUACGAUUUGAUGCAAGGUUAAGCAGUAAAUGUGGAGCCGUAGCGAAAGCGAGUCUGAAUAGGGCGUUUAGUAUUUGGUCGUAGACCCGAAACCAGGUGAUCUACCCUUGGUCAGGUUGAAGUUCAGGUAACACUGAAUGGAGGACCGAACCGACUUACGUUGAAAAGUGAGCGGAUGAACUGAGGGUAGCGGAGAAAUUCCAAUCGAACCUGGAGAUAGCUGGUUCUCUCCGAAAUAGCUUUAGGGCUAGCCUCAAGUGAUGAUUAUUGGAGGUAGAGCACUGUUUGGACGAGGGGCCCCUCUCGGGUUACCGAAUUCAGACAAACUCCGAAUGCCAAUUAAUUUAACUUGGGAGUCAGAACAUGGGUGAUAAGGUCCGUGUUCGAAAGGGAAACAGCCCAGACCACCAGCUAAGGUCCCAAA